This 463-nucleotide ribosomal RNA is filed under the name uncultured bacterium. RNAcentral's name for it is "partial 16S ribosomal RNA". It matches the Rfam family "Bacterial small subunit ribosomal RNA", at positions 28 to 507 of the family's 1533-position model. The record is from RNAcentral.
GACGAACGCUGGCGGCGUGCUUAACACAUGCAAGUCGAACGGAAAGGCCUUUUCGGAGGUACUCGAGUGGCGCACGGGUGCGUAACACGUGGGUGAUCUGCCCUGCACUCUGGGAUAAGCCUGGGAAACUGGGUCUAAUACCGGAUAGGACCGCACUUUAGUGUGUGUGGUGGAAAGUUGUUUCGGUGUAGGAUGAGCCCGCGGCCUAUCAGCUUGUUGGUGGGGUAAUGGCCUACCAAGGCGGCGACGGGUAGCCGGACUGAGAGGUUGGUCGGCCACAUUGGGACUGAGAUACGGCCCAGACUCCUACGGGAGGCAGCAGUGGGGAAUAUUGCACAAUGGGCGCAAGCCUGAUGCAGCGACGCCGCGUGGGGGAUGACGGCCUUCGGGUUGUAAACUCCUUUCGCCAGGGACGAAGCGUUUUGUGACGGUACCUGGAGAAGAAGCACCGGCUAACUACGUG